AGUGAACGCUGGCGGUAGGCCUAACACAUGCAAGUCGAACGGCAGCACAGUAAGAGCUUGCUCUUACGGGUGGCGAGUGGCGGACGGGUGAGGAAUACAUCGGAAUCUACUUUUUCGUGGGGGAUAACGUAGGGAAACUUACGCUAAUACCGCAUACGACCUACGGGUGAAAGCAGGGGAUCUUCGGACCUUGCGCGAUUGAAUGAGCCGAUGUCGGAUUAGCUAGUUGGCGGGGUAAAGGCCCACCAAGGCAACGAUCCGUAGCUGGUCUGAGAGGAUGAUCGGCGACACGGGGAGUGAGCCACGGUCCAGACGACUACGGGAGGCAGCAGUGGGGAAUGGGCCGAAAUGGGCGCAAGCAUGAAGGAGCAAGGCCGGGGGAAUGAUGACGGUCUUCGGAUCGUACAACUCUGUUAUGAGGGAAGAACAAAUGCGUAAGUAACUAUGCACGUCUUGACGGUACCUAAUCAGAAAGCCACGGCUAACUACGUG
This 492-nucleotide ribosomal RNA is filed under the name uncultured bacterium. Its description in RNAcentral is "partial 16S ribosomal RNA". It matches the Rfam family "Bacterial small subunit ribosomal RNA", at positions 29 to 507 of the family's 1533-position model. The record is from RNAcentral.